This 253-nucleotide ribosomal RNA is filed under the name uncultured bacterium. RNAcentral describes it as "partial 16S ribosomal RNA". It matches the Rfam family "Bacterial small subunit ribosomal RNA", at positions 524 to 776 of the family's 1533-position model. The record is from RNAcentral.
UACGGAGGGUGCAAGCGUUGUCCGGAAUCACUGGGCGUAAAGGGCGCGUAGGCGGCCCGGUAAGUAGGGGGUGAAAUCCUGCGGCUUAACCGCAGGGCUGCCUUCUAAACUGUCGGGCUCGAGCACGGUAGAGGCAGAUGGAAUUCCUGGUGUAGCGGUGAAAUGCGCAGAUAUCAGGAGGAACACCAAUGGCGAAGGCAGCUCACUGGGACGAUACUGACGCUGAGACGCGAAAGCGUGGGGAGCAAACAGG